CCAGCAGCUGCGGUAAUUCCAGCUCCAAUAGCGUAUAUUAAAGUUGUUGCAGUUAAAACGCUCGUAGUCUGAUGUAAUGGGGGCUGGAGUGGGGAGCAGCGAUGCCCUUUGCUUUGGUCCUCAUCAGCGGGACAGCAAUGUCCCAUUUUACUUUGAGGAAAUUAGAGUGUUCAAAGCAGGCGAUUGCUUGAAUACUGCAGCAUGGAAUAAUGGAAUAGGACUCGCGUCUUAUUUUGUUGGUUUGGAGAUGUGAGUAAUGAUGAAUAGGGACAGUUGGGGGCAUUGGUAUUCAGUAGUCAGAGGUGAAAUUCUUGGAUUUACGAAAGAUAAACUUCUGCGAAAGCAUUCGGCAAGGAUGUUUUCAUUGAUCAAGAACGAAAGU
This 382-nucleotide ribosomal RNA is filed under the name uncultured eukaryote. RNAcentral describes it as "SSU rRNA". It matches the Rfam family "Eukaryotic small subunit ribosomal RNA", at positions 567 to 990 of the family's 1831-position model. The record is from RNAcentral.